UAAUACGUAGGGUGCAAGCGUUGUCCGGAAUUAUUGGGCGUAAAGAGCUCGUAGGCGGUUUGUCACGUCGGAUGUGAAAACUCGGGGCUCAACCCCGAGCCUGCAUACGAUACGGGCAGACUUGAGUACGGCAGGGGAGACUGGAAUUCCUGGUGUAGCGGUGAAAUGCGCAGAUAUCAGGAG
This 183-nucleotide ribosomal RNA is filed under the name uncultured bacterium. Its description in RNAcentral is "partial 16S ribosomal RNA". It matches the Rfam family "Bacterial small subunit ribosomal RNA", at positions 521 to 703 of the family's 1533-position model. The record is from RNAcentral.